CCUACGGGAGGCAGCAGUGAGGAAUAUUGGUCAAUGGACGAGAGUCUGAACCAGCCAAGUAGCGUGAAGGAUGACUGCCCUAUGGGUUGUAAACUUCUUUUAUAUGGGAAUAAAAUCUUCCACGUGUGGGCUUUUGUAUGUACCAUAUGAAUAAGGAUCGGCUAACUCCGUGCCAGCAGCCGCGGUAAUACGGAGGAUCCGAGCGUUAUCCGGAUUUAUUGGGUUUAAAGGGAGCGUAGGUGGAUUGUUAAGUCAGUUGUGAAAGUUUGCGGCUCAACCGUAAAAUUGCAGUUGAAACUGGCAGUCUUGAGUACAGUAGAGGUGGGCAGAAUUCGUGGUGUAGCGGUGAAAUGCUUAGAUAUCACGAAGAACUCCGAUUGCGAAGGCAGCUCACUGGACUGAAACUGACACUGAGGCUCGAAAGUGUGGGUAUCAAACAGGAUUAGAUACCCCAGUAGUC
Molecule: ribosomal RNA, 460 nt
Filed under: uncultured bacterium
Lineage: Bacteria
Description: partial 16S ribosomal RNA
Rfam family: Bacterial small subunit ribosomal RNA
Source: RNAcentral